UAAUAAUAAAAGCUCCUACCAGUUUUAAAUAAUCAUAAAGACAUUGAUGCCAUUCACAGCAAAAGUGAGAUAGAAAACUCUAUUGAAUAAAGCACUUUAACAACUUAAAUGAGAAACUCUGCUACUGGCCUGCAUUAACAGAUCCUCCCAGGAGCUCUAUAGAACCCUAUUAAUCAACCUGCCAAGUUACCAACAUCCGUAUGGAGCCUGAAGUCAGCAGUCAAGAUUCACAACACACAGUGAAUGUCUGCAGUAUGGAUGUUGGGGGAUUUGGUUUCCAUUUCAUACCCUUGUACUCAUGUGCACAUCAGAUCUAGGGAUGUUGGAGAAUUCUAACAAAAGAAGAAACAGGAGCAGAAAUUGCUGGUGUUUGCUUAUUUAUCCCAUGCCCAGAAUGGAAAUCAAUGCAUUGAAAACAAUUUGUAUUUGCUGUUGUUGUUGCUUUCAGUCUGUAAAUGAUACACAAGUGAUUACAUCCCCCCCC
Molecule: long non-coding RNA, 484 nt
Organism: Rhineura floridana
Lineage: Eukaryota; Metazoa; Chordata; Lepidosauria; Squamata; Rhineuridae
Exons: 2
Source: RefSeq, a predicted model, not a curated record